GAUUAUUUUGGAGAGAAUUUCAAGGGGGAUUUCAUCAAGCAUCAAAGGUGAGUUGUUUCUACUUAUUUCCAAGUUAAAUACAUGAAUUAGAGCUGAAAACUCAAGUAAUUUAUGGACAAAAAUGGUGGGUUAGGGUUUGAAACUUAAGAGAAUUAAAUGGUGAUUUGAGGGGCCAAAUGAACUCCGAUUUUUGUGAAUUUGGUAUGUAUAGACUCGUGGCGAGAUAAGGGUCGUAUUAAUGUAAAAAUUUCUGAAUUUCGAGACGUGGGCCCGGGGCUCGGGUUUUGCUAAUUUCGUGAUUUUCGACAUUUUUUGAGUCUUUUCGAUUGGGUUAUAUUCCCUUAGCCUAUUGUAACGUAUUCGUUGUGGUUUUGACUAGAUUCGACGCGCGAAGAAGUCGAUUCAAGAGGAAAGGGUAUUGCGGACUAGCCUACGACCGGUUAGAGGUGAGUAAUAGAUGUAAAUGCUGUUAUGAGGGUUUGAAAUUCCGGACUUUCACAUCGUAACGCUAUAUUGAGGCGUUACACGCACUCCAUGGCGAGUGCGGGGUCGGAUACUAUUGGGGAUUGUGACUUGAUCUAUCCCGUGUGAUGUUUAUACUAUACUGGUGAUUGAUACACAUACUUCAUUGAUAUUACUGGGCUUGAUGCCAUGUUUGGGGCCUUGUGCCGAUUUGUAAAAUCCUUCGAGGAUUGAUAUUAUUGCUUAACAUGAUUUGCAUAUCAUUUAAUUUCAGUCCAAGGUUUUAAAUGGUGUUUUGCAAACUCAGCCAUAAUUCUAAGUUUUGAAAACUUAAAUGAUAUUUUUAAAUGUAUUCCGGGCUGGGAACUUCUGUUUUGUAAAUGCCCAAGGGGCUUAUUAUAUUAUUUUCUGGACUGAUUAUAAAGUGACUUGAAAUAGUGGUAACAAUGACACUGUGUGAUAUACUUGAAACAGUGGUAACAAUGACACUGUGUGAUAUACUUGAAACAGUGGUAACAAUGACACUGUGUGAUAUAGUUGAAAUAGUGGUAACAAUGACACUGUGUGAUAUACUUGAAAUAGUGGUAACAAUGAUACUGGAUAAUAUACUUGAACAGUGGUAAUAAUGGCACUGUAUGAUAUAAAUUGGUCAGGUAACAAUGGCUGAUCGGUCAGGUAACAAUGACUGACCAAGAUAUUGCGCUUGGGCUGUAGGAGCCCCUCCGGAGUCUGUACACACCCUCCAGUGAGCGUCGUCGACGAUAAAUAAAUAUGGAUGGCACGGGCU
RNAcentral lists this long non-coding RNA (1249 nucleotides) under Nicotiana tabacum (common tobacco). RNAcentral's name for it is "long non-coding RNA (NTAB_LNC007275)". The record is from RNAcentral. Lineage: Eukaryota; Viridiplantae; Streptophyta; Magnoliopsida; Solanales; Solanaceae.